This 76-nucleotide transfer RNA is filed under the name Staphylococcus aureus. RNAcentral's name for it is "tRNA-Thr(tgt)". It matches the Rfam family "tRNA". Rfam says of the family: Transfer RNA (tRNA) molecules are approximately 80 nucleotides in length. Their secondary structure includes four short double-helical elements and three loops (D, anti-codon, and T loops). Further hydrogen bonds mediate the characteristic L-shaped molecular structure. tRNAs have two regions of fundamental functional importance: the anti-codon, which is responsible for specific mRNA codon recognition, and the 3' end, to which the tRNAs corresponding amino acid is attached (by aminoacyl-tRNA synthetases). tRNAs cope with the degeneracy of the genetic code in two manners: having more than one tRNA (with a specific anti-codon) for a particular amino acid; and 'wobble' base-pairing, i.e. permitting non-standard base-pairing at the 3rd anti-codon position. The record is from RNAcentral. Lineage: Bacteria; Bacillati; Bacillota; Bacilli; Caryophanales; Staphylococcaceae.
GCCGGCCUAGCUCAAAUGGUAGAGCAACUGACUUGUAAUCAGUAGGUUGGGGGUUCAAGUCCUCUGGCCGGCACCA